RNAcentral lists this ribosomal RNA (777 nucleotides) under uncultured archaeon. RNAcentral's name for it is "bacterial SSU rRNA". It matches the Rfam family "Archaeal small subunit ribosomal RNA", at positions 84 to 862 of the family's 1478-position model. The record is from RNAcentral.
UAUUGCUCACUAACACGCGGAUAACCUGCCCUUGGGUCCGGGAUAACCCCGGGAAACUGGGACUAAUACCGGAUAGAUCACAGACGCUGGAAUGCCCUAUGAUCCAAAACUCCGGUGCCCAAGGAUGGGUCUGCGGCCUAUCAGGUAGUAGUGGGUGUAACGUACCUACUAGCCUACGACGGGUAAGGGUUGUGAGAGCAAGAUCCCUGAGAUGGACUCUGAGACAUGAAUCCAGGCCCUACGGGGUGCAGCAGGCGCGAAACCUUUACACUGCGGGAAACCGCGAUAAGGGGACCCCGAGUGCCAGCAUCUAAUGCUGGCUGUCCCGCUGUCCAAACAACAGUGGUUAGCAAGGGCCGGGCAAGACCGGUGCCAGCCGCCGCGGUAACACCGGCGGCCCGAGUGGUAGCCGUUAUUAUUGGGUUUAAAGGGCCCGUAGCCGGCCUAUUAAGUCUCUUGGGAAAUCUGGCGGCUUAAUCGUCAGGCGGCCAAGAGAUACUGGUAGGCUUGGGACCGGGAGAGGUGGGAGGUACUCCAGGGGUAGGGGUGAAAUCUCGUAAUCCUUGGGGGACCACCGAUGGCGAAGGCAUCCCACCAGAACGGGUCCGACGGUGAGGGACGAAAGCUGGGGGCACGAACCGGAUUAGAUACCCGGGUAGUCCCAGCUGUAAACGAUGCUCGCUAGGUGUCAGGUGCGGUGCGACCGCAUCUGGUGCCGCAGUGAAAACUUGAAGCGAGUCACCUGGGAAGUACGGUCGCAAGGCUGAAAUUUAAAAG